This 449-nucleotide ribosomal RNA is filed under the name uncultured bacterium. RNAcentral's name for it is "partial 16S ribosomal RNA". It matches the Rfam family "Bacterial small subunit ribosomal RNA", at positions 354 to 796 of the family's 1533-position model. The record is from RNAcentral.
GUGGGGAAUAUUGGACAAUGGGCGAAAGCCUGAUCCAGCCAUGCCGCGUGUGUGAAGAAGGUCUUCGGAUUGUAAAGCACUUUAAGUUGGGAGGAAGGGCAGUAAGUUAAUACCUUGCUGUUUUGACGUUACCGACAGAAUAAGCACCGGCUAACUUCGUGCCAGCAGCCGCGGUAAUACGAAGGGUGCAAGCGUUAAUCGGAAUUACUGGGCGUAAAGCGCGCGUAGGUGGUUUUGUAAGUUGGAGGUGAAAUCCCCGGGCUAAACCUGGGAACUGCCUCCAAAACUGCAUGACUAGAGUACGGUAGAGGAUAGUGGAAUUUCCUGUGUAGCGGUGAAAUGCGUAGAUAUAGGAAGGAACACAGUGGCGAAGGCGACUACCUGGACUGAUACUGACACUGAGGUGCGAAAGCGUGGGGAGCAAACAGGAUUAGAAACCCUAGUAGUCC